RNAcentral lists this long non-coding RNA (292 nucleotides) under Phaseolus vulgaris (common bean). RNAcentral's name for it is "long non-coding RNA (PVUL_LNC000619)". Lineage: Eukaryota; Viridiplantae; Streptophyta; Magnoliopsida; Fabales; Fabaceae. The record is from RNAcentral.
UGACUCGAUCCUCCGCGGCGAUGUGCGCCAAAGUCGGACGCUUGAUUUCACAGAACGUCUUUGGGUAGAACCUGAGUAGUGAUUCGCUGAAAGGCCCUGGUAGCAUUCCCUUGGUGAAGGUGUGCACCCUCAUUGCCUCAUCUGUAGGUUUGAGCCUCACCACCUGGACUCCAAGCCUGUUCAAGAACUCUUUCAAGGACUCCUCCUAGUACUGCUUUAUGUCAAAGACAUCAUAAGAGAUUAGAGGGGGAGCCCUAUUGAUAAGGUACUGUUCUCUGAAUAGCGUUGCGAA